RNAcentral lists this ribosomal RNA (1234 nucleotides) under Phylladiorhynchus kermadecensis. RNAcentral's name for it is "SSU rRNA". It matches the Rfam family "Eukaryotic small subunit ribosomal RNA", at positions 67 to 1270 of the family's 1831-position model. The record is from RNAcentral. Lineage: Eukaryota; Metazoa; Arthropoda; Malacostraca; Decapoda; Galatheidae.
AAACUAAAACAAAAGUGAAACCGCGAAUGGCUCAUUAAAUCAGCUAUUAUUUAUUGGGUGUACCACUAAUAUAAAAGUUACUUGGAUAACUGUGGUAAUUCUAGAGCUAAUACAUGCACAUAUAGUCCCUCGAAGAAACCUUUAAAUACAUCAAGUAUGAUUUUUAGGUGCUUCAACAGGGCGCUUUUAUUAGUAUCAAAACCGGUAUUCUCGGGCUUCGGUCCGUAAAACCCUAGUAUGAUGACUCUGGAUAAUUUUGAGCUGAGCGCACAGUCUUUUGCACUGGCGCCGCUUCUUUCAAGUGUCUGCCUUAUCAGCUGUCGAUUGUAGAUUAUGUGCCUACAAUGGCUAUAACGGGUAACGGGGAAUCAGGGUUCGAUUCCGGAGAGGGAGCCUGAGAAACGGCUACCACAUCUAAGGAAGGCAGCAGGCACGCAAAUUACCCACUCCCAGCUUGGGGAGGUAGUGACGAAAAAUAACGAUGCGAGACUCAUCCGAGGCCUCGCAAUCGGAAUGAGUACACUUUAAAUCCUUUUGCGAGGAUCAAUUGGAGGGCAAGUCUGGUGCCAGCAGCCGCGGUAAUUCCAGCUCCAAUGGCAUAUAUUAAAGUUGUUGCGGUUAAAAUGCUCGUAGUUGGCUUUUUAACACUGUAGCUGAUGGUUGGCUGUAAAUCCUUUAAUUGGUAGGCUAAUCGAACAUGCUCAGUGAUUGCCGUGACAACUUAAAAAUUGUUUGGCUUUUUGGCUGGCUCGCACGGGAUGCUCUUUAUUGAGUGUCCCGAGGUCCCAUUUUCUUAUAUAUCGUUUUCCUUUUUGGAACCCGAGGUAAUGAAUGAAGGGGAUAAACGGGGGCAUAUGUACUGCAACGCUAGAGGUGAAAUUCUUGGACCGUUGUAUGACAAACAACUGCGAAAGCAUUUGCCAAGGAUGUUUUCAUUAAUCAAGAACGAAAGUUAGAGGUUCGAAGGCGAUCAGAUACCGCCCUAGUUCUAACCAUAAACGAUGCUAACCAGCGAUCUGCUGGAGUUAUGUACAUGACUCGGCGGGCAGCUUCCUGGGAAACCAAAGUCUUUGAGUUCCGGGGGAAGUAUGGUUGCAAAGUUGAAACUUAAAGGAAUUGACGGAAGGGCACCACCAGGAGUGGAGCCUGCGGCUUAAUUUGACUCAACACGGGAAACCUCACCAGGUCCGGACACUGGAAGGAUUGACAGAUUGAAAGCUCUUUCUUGAUUCAG